GGGGAUGACCGGUUUCGACGGGGGAAGGUGGUCCCGGAUUGCGAGUCGAGAGGUGCCGAUCUCGUCAAAUCAGCACAAAAAAAUUAAGUGCCAAACGCACAAACUUCCAAGCUCUUCCUUUAGCUGCAUAAGCUAUUGAAUGAGCGAUGCCUCAUAAGAGGCACGUCCGCCUGGACCGUUCUUCGACCGGGUCAGAAUCGGGCGACAAAAUGUCGAAGUGCUGCACAAGUUGUCACGCCUUGUGUUUUAAGAGGGCUUUCGGGUCUGAGUGACUCGCCACUGUAGUUUGGUUGGUUUUUUUUACAAGUGGUUAAACAUAAAUGCCAACUACACUCGUAGAUAUCCGAGGGGUAUCUCUUUCGGACGCGGGUUCGACUCCCGCCAUCUCCACCA
This 393-nucleotide transfer-messenger RNA is filed under the name Anaerolineaceae. Its description in RNAcentral is "UBA5203 sp016838895 Standard tmRNA". It matches the Rfam family "transfer-messenger RNA". From Rfam's summary of the family: Bacterial tmRNA, also known as 10Sa RNA or SsrA, is named for its dual tRNA and mRNA-like properties. Its role is to liberate the mRNA from a stalled ribosome. To accomplish this part of the tmRNA is used as a reading frame that ends in a translation stop signal. The record is from RNAcentral. RNAcentral also lists the same sequence under 1 other name. Lineage: Bacteria; Bacillati; Chloroflexota; Anaerolineae; Anaerolineales.